AACUUUCAACAACGGAUCUCUUGGCUCUCGCAUCGAUGAAGAACGCAGCGAAAUGCGAUACGUAAUGUGAAUUGCAGAAUUCAGUGAAUCAUCGAAUCUUUGAACGCACCUUGCGCCCCUUGGCAUUCCGAGGGGCACACCCGUUUGAGUG
This 151-nucleotide ribosomal RNA is filed under the name Russula suecica. RNAcentral describes it as "5.8S ribosomal RNA". It matches the Rfam family "5.8S ribosomal RNA". Rfam says of the family: 5.8S ribosomal RNA (5.8S rRNA) is a component of the large subunit of the eukaryotic ribosome. It is transcribed by RNA polymerase I as part of the 45S precursor that also contains 18S and 28S rRNA. The record is from RNAcentral. Lineage: Eukaryota; Fungi; Basidiomycota; Agaricomycetes; Russulales; Russulaceae.